UGGGGAAUAUUGCGCAAUGGGCGAAAGCCUGACGCAGCAACGCCGCGUGAGUGAUGAAGGCCUUCGGGUCGUAAAGCUCUGUCGGAGGGAACGAAUGCUCUUGAGGUUAACAGCCUCGGGAGGUGACGGUACCCUCAAAGGAAGCACCGGCUAACUCUGUGCCAGCAGCCGCGGUAAUACAGAGGGUGCAAGCGUUGUUCGGAAUCAUUGGGCGUAAAGGGCGUGUAGGCGGUAUGUUAAGUCAUGUGUGAAAUCCCUCGGCUCAACCGGGGAACGACGCAUGAAACUAGCAAGCUAGAGUACCAAAGAGGGUGGUGGAAUUCUUGGUGUAGCGGUGAAAUGCGUAGAUAUCAAGAGGAACACCUGAGGUGAAGACGGGUUGCUGGGCUGACACUGACGCUGAGGCGCGAAAGCCAGGGGAGCAAACGGGAUUAGAUACCCCAGUAGUCCCUGAGCGGGCUGGCAAGGCGCAU
This 473-nucleotide ribosomal RNA is filed under the name uncultured bacterium. RNAcentral's name for it is "bacterial SSU rRNA". It matches the Rfam family "Bacterial small subunit ribosomal RNA", at positions 355 to 825 of the family's 1533-position model. The record is from RNAcentral.